This 76-nucleotide transfer RNA is filed under the name Candidatus Pacearchaeota archaeon CG10_big_fil_rev_8_21_14_0_10_34_12. RNAcentral describes it as "tRNA-Arg". It matches the Rfam family "tRNA". From Rfam's summary of the family: Transfer RNA (tRNA) molecules are approximately 80 nucleotides in length. Their secondary structure includes four short double-helical elements and three loops (D, anti-codon, and T loops). The record is from RNAcentral. Lineage: Archaea; Nanobdellati.
GCCCGGGUAGCUCAGCCUGGAUUAGAGCGACGCACUCCUAAUGCGUAGGUCGCAGGUUCAAAUCCUGUCUCGGGCA